AGUCUUCUAGCCUUCGCUGAUGGGUUCUGCAUAUGAGUUCAGGCAUGCCUUCAGGACUCCACCAGGCACUUGGUAAUUCUGCCUUAUCCUUCACUUUUUGCUUGAGCAGCGCCGAAAGGUGAGCCAGAGGAGGGAAAUUUGGACAUGGACACAUAGGGAAGACAGCCAUGUGGAGACAGAGGCAGAGGUGGACCUGCUGCCGCAAAACCACAGGGCGCCAAGUACUGUGGGCCACUGAGAAAACUAAAGGAGAGGAAGGAUUCUUCCCUGGAGCUUUGGAGAGGGUGCGGCCCUACUUUCACCUGGAUUUCAGACUUCA
This 319-nucleotide long non-coding RNA is filed under the name Homo sapiens (human). Its description in RNAcentral is "non-protein coding lnc-AKR1E2-7:8". The record is from RNAcentral. Lineage: Eukaryota; Metazoa; Chordata; Mammalia; Primates; Hominidae.